GGGGCUGUAGUCUAGCUUGGAAGGACGCCGGCCUCGGGCGCCGGUAGCCUGGGUUCAAAUCCCAGCAGCCCCA
Molecule: transfer RNA, 73 nt
Filed under: Candidatus Aenigmatarchaeota archaeon
Lineage: Archaea; Nanobdellati; Candidatus Aenigmatarchaeota
Description: tRNA-Pro
Rfam family: tRNA
About the family: Transfer RNA (tRNA) molecules are approximately 80 nucleotides in length. Their secondary structure includes four short double-helical elements and three loops (D, anti-codon, and T loops).
Source: RNAcentral